Molecule: RNA transcript, 1478 nt
Organism: Xiphophorus hellerii (green swordtail)
Lineage: Eukaryota; Metazoa; Chordata; Actinopteri; Cyprinodontiformes; Poeciliidae
Exons: 2
Source: RefSeq, a predicted model, not a curated record
GGUUUGUAUUUAUUGGUGUUUCUUAACUAUUUAUUGUUUUUAGUAAAGGUUUUAAACCUUUAAACUGGUGGUGCCUCCACCAUGGCGGCUAGCCAUGCCGGCAUGCGGAGGCACCACAGUGUUCGAUUUUUAUUUAAUGAAAAAGUAGAAGAAAAUAGAGUAACGAGAUUGGACUUUUCAAGAAAAUUAAUUCAACAGGUACUGAAGUUUCGGCCAGAUGACCUGAAUUGUAUCCUUACCCUGCCUUUCAAUAAAGGAUAUGACGUAAGUUUUUGCUCUGCCGCACUUCUCAAAGAAUUUUGGACACGGUUUGAAAAUGCUAAGACCCAGUUUUCAGCAUUUGACGUCGAGAAACUGACUGACAACUCCCUGAAAACGGUGAUUGUCAGGAUGUUCAAUGAGACUGUCAGUGCUGAAGACAUCUGUAUAUGGCUGGGUAGAUACUGCACUGUGAGAGGCCAGGCUAUGAAGGUGCGGGAUGUGGACGGCAUCUGGAACUGUGCUUGGCGGGUCCCCAUCAAACAAUGGGAAGACCCCCAAGGCUUCCAGGGCCUGAAGCAUCUCCCCUCAAUGAUAGUCCUGGGGGAGAACAGAGGCUACAUUCACUAUCAAGGCAAACCCAAACUGUGCCGGAAGUGCGGCGAGCAUGGUCAUCUGGCCGAAACUUGUGAAAAAGUUUUCUGCGGUAAAUGUCGAGAAGUGGGACACACUUUUGAUGAGUGUACGAACGGGCGGAAAUGUAAUUUGUGUGGUGGACAGGAUCAUUUGUUCAGAGACUGUCCAAAGUCGUUUGCGAAUAAAUUGAAAAAAGGAAAAGAGACGCUAACGGAAACGGUUAAUGAGCAAGUGGACGCAGCUGGGUUGGAAAAUUCAAAUCUCCCGCCAGGUCCUCUGAUUGGAGGAGAGGAGGAGAGGGCGGGAAGCGGGGAGGGGAAGGAAGCCCCCCCAGACCGAAACAUCCAGUGAGGGGGGGGGAGAUGCUAACCGAAGGCGGAGCUAGCUCGGACUCUGAGGAAGAACAGACUGACAGCAGCGAUGAUGCUCCCCUCCCCGACGCCCAGCUGGCUAAGAGGCCGGCAUCUGAGUCACCUCCCGACCUUACCCCCAAGGACCGGGAACCAGUGACUCCAGUGCGCGGCCUCCUGUAUGGAGACGCCUCCACGGUUUGGCACAACGUGAGCCAUCCCGUCCUUCCAAACAGACUCCAGGACCUGUCAUGGAUGGUGGCUCAUGGGAUCCUGCCGGUCAGAGCCGUCAUGCACUCCCGCGGCAUGUCACCGACGUCCAUCUGCCCCCGACCCGGUUGUGGCGCGCCGGAGUCGGUGAGGCACCUGCUGUGGGAGUGCAGCGCUGCUGUGGACCUGUGGGCGAAAGCCGGCUCCUUGCAAUUCCCACACUUGCCAGCAAGGGAGGUCCUCCAUGGGCAGCUAGUGCUGUAAGGGGCGAGCCAGCAGAAAAUGACUAAAAAAAGACUUUGC